GCCUGGGUGGCUCAAUUGGUUAAGCAUCUGACUUCAACUCAGGUCAUGAUCUCAUGGUCCGUGAGUUUGAGCCCCACAUCAGGCU
This 85-nucleotide transfer RNA is filed under the name Felis catus (domestic cat). It matches the Rfam family "tRNA". From Rfam's summary of the family: Transfer RNA (tRNA) molecules are approximately 80 nucleotides in length. Their secondary structure includes four short double-helical elements and three loops (D, anti-codon, and T loops). Lineage: Eukaryota; Metazoa; Chordata; Mammalia; Carnivora; Felidae. The record is from Rfam by way of RNAcentral.